AUUUUAGCUACUACUAAUUGAGUGAUAAACUUGAUGCAUCUUGCAGGCUUUCAGAUGGAAGUAGUUAAAACUACUCAUGCUGGGCAUGCAAAAUCUCUUAUAUCUACUUCUGAUUUCAGCACAUGUCCUAAUGGAGUUGUGUGUGUGGGUGGCGAUGGAAUUGUAAACGAGGUGCUCAAUGGUCUUCUGCUCAGAAGUGAUAGAACAGAAGCUGUAUCGAAUCCAGUUGGAAUAAUUCCUGCAGGCUCUGACAACUCACUCGUCUGCACUGUUUUGGGGGUUAGAGAUCCUAUUUCUGCAUCAAUAUUAAUUGUUAAGGUAUGCUUAGUUUCUUCUUUUUCUCAAAGACCCCAUUACUAUCGUUACUAUAGCGUUUUA
This is a long non-coding RNA of Panicum virgatum (switchgrass), 378 nucleotides long. RefSeq lists it as uncharacterized. The transcript has 3 exons. NCBI's taxonomy places the organism in Eukaryota, Viridiplantae, Streptophyta, Magnoliopsida, Poales, Poaceae. The record is from RefSeq and is a predicted model, not a curated record.